CCAAUAGCGUAUAUUAAAGUUGUUGCAGUUAAAAAGCUCGUAGUUGAAUUUCGGGGUUCUACCGUUGGUCGGGCAAUAGUCUGUACUGGCGUGUAGAAUUUCUACCUUCUGGGGAACCAUCAUGUUAUUAAUUUAGCAUGGUGGGAAACCAGGACCUUUACCUUGAAAAAAUUAGAGUGUUCAAAGCAGGCUUACGUCUGAAUACAUUAGCAUGGAAUAAUAAAAUAGGACGGUGGUCCCGUUUUGUUGGUUUCUGAAUCACCGUAAUGAUUAAUAGGGAUAGUUGGGGGCAUUAGUAUUCAAUUGUCAGAGGUGAAAUUCUUGGAUUUAUUGAAGACUAACUUCUGCGAAAGCAUUUGCCAAGGAUGUUUUCAUUAAUCAAGAACGAAAGUUAGGGGAUCGAAGACGAUCAGAUACCGUCGUAGUCUUAACCAUAAACUAUGCCGACUAGGGAUCGGACGAUGUUAAUUUUUCUUGACUCGUUCGGCGCCUUACG
RNAcentral lists this ribosomal RNA (496 nucleotides) under uncultured Glomeromycotina. RNAcentral's name for it is "partial small subunit ribosomal RNA". It matches the Rfam family "Eukaryotic small subunit ribosomal RNA", at positions 591 to 1092 of the family's 1831-position model. Lineage: Eukaryota; Fungi; Glomeromycota. The record is from RNAcentral.